Long non-coding RNA from Dromaius novaehollandiae (emu), 15184 nucleotides. RefSeq lists it as uncharacterized. NCBI's taxonomy places the organism in Eukaryota, Metazoa, Chordata, Aves, Casuariiformes, Dromaiidae. The record is from RefSeq and is a predicted model, not a curated record. The transcript is spliced from 2 exons.
AGCCUUCAUCCCUCUCCACACUUCUCUUUGCUUGUACCAGGAAACCACCUGAAGUGUGGGAAAUCUUUUGCUGGCAUGGGUGGGGAGUGCUCGUGGCCCUGGUACGUGCCCUCCAGAAGGUGCAACAAGGGUCUGCGUGUGUUUUUCAGGAUGCUUUUAAAGGGAUCUGUGCUCCCUUUUUUUUCUCUCCAGGGAGAAAGAGGAAAGGAGGUUUUAAGUGGAACUAUACAACUCCCUAAUAAGCAAAAAUGUAUUAUCCCCAUGAGAACUGGGUUUCCAACAACAGAAUAUAAAGAUCUGUCCUUCCAAGCUUGUCUGUUGCCCAUGACCCAGGGAGAUGAGCAGACUGAGAAGUCUUAACUUUGAUAUGAUUAUUUUGAACUCAGUAUGGAUAACAGCGCACACUUCUUCCACGCUGAAGUCUAUCCUUAGGAAAGAGCAAAGCGUCACAGGCUUGAAUUCUCCGAAGCUUUUUGGUGACUUGUUAGGUUGGAUUUGUUCUACAUGUGCCAUCCAUCCCUGUGUAGAUAGAAACAAUCUUUAUUAAAGAUUAAGCACUUGAAGUAAUCCACUGAUACAGUGCAGGUGAAAGGAAAGGCUGUGUUUAUCUGUUAUUUAUUAGGGAAACUUGUGCUGAAGAUUCCUAAAGAUCUCUCAUGGGUAGAUUUUUCUACCCCCUGAUAAAGAUGUUGCUGGUCCAUUUUGCUUAAGCUAAGGUAGAAGAAUAUUUAAUUAUGUUUACUAAUAUAGCUUUACUUCCUUGUCAGUCUGAGGUCACAUAAUUUACCUUGCACAUAUGGCCUGGAUUAGCCCUUGGACAUAAUUCCUUUAGUUGGAGCUGGGGACAACAUUAUUCUUUAAAACUUGCCUGUUUUCAAGCAAGCAAAAUGCUUCCUAAACUGAAAAGCUCAGACAAAAUUUCCAAAACCAUGUACGGUUUUGUGAGGACUGUCUUGCUUUUAGGAUAAGCUUGCAAAAUAGCUAUUUUUCCCUUGUUCUGUGGGGAAGUGGAGGUUUUUUCCCCUAUUUAUUUUGUAAUGCAUUUUUUUCAAGUUGGAUAGUAGAUGGUGGGCCAACUUCUGGUUGUAAAUUUCUGGCUGUUUGAGACUAUCAUGUUAUUAGUUGAGUAGAAGCUGUUCUUGCUCGUUUUCCUCAAGAGUGGCUAGUAGUGUUUCUGCACUGUCUACAAGUGAGGCAGGCAUCCCCCACACAAACUUUUGACAGCAAUUGGAAACGGAGUCCUGGGGCUCCCCCCUGCAAAGUAGUCAGAAGGCCGUAUAUCAGCCCCCGCAGUGGGUCUCCAAGACCUGGAGAACUAGUAGCUGUCUCUAAAGAUGCAGGAAUGGAAAGAGGGGUUUAUAAGCAAGAAAAAAGAUAUUUUAAGGUAAAUGGGGAAAAAUAAAGCCAACUGUGGAUGUAAUUGAGGGCAGUAUUGCCUGGGAAUUCUCCAUAUGACUAUUGUUUUCAUAGCAUCAUUCCACCAAAGAGUUGGGUUGGCUCCAUAUAUUAGGAAACAGUGCAGUGGUGCUAAACAGAGGUUGGAAGCUCCUGAUGUAGCUGUUGGUACCACAAGAGGAGGACACAUCUGUAUAACCUUUUGCUCGAAUUUCCAUUCAUCAGGAGUGCCAGAUUUCUGCUGAUUCACAGGAAAAUAAGUUUUGUUGCUGCUAUUGUAACUGCUUUCUCCUUUCUUUGCGGAGGACUUCUGAUGAUGGGAAGACUAGAAUAGCUGGCUUGGGAUUGAACAGAGUUUUAAAGUCAUUUAAAAAUCCUUUUUAUAGCUUUAAAAGAAAACAAGAGGCUUUGCUCCAGGGGUGGGAUGAAGUCUAACAGGUCUGUGUGGAGUGGUGUUAUUCUCGCUAUGCUUCCUGGUAUUUCUAUUGUUUUGUUUUGUUUUAAAUUCCAGCAAGUUCAAUGCUCAGUCUGGGCUGUAGCAAGCACCGUGCCAAUGACAUAACAUUUAGAGCCGGUUUUGUCAGCCCGCGAGGCUUGGUGCCUCUCCAGCCCGCAGAGUGUGUCCGAGGGCCUGAAUUUUGCACAGCGGGGCUGUGUCGUGCUGCACGCAGAGAGGUCCAGCACGGAGGGCCCAGCGCUGCCCCAGCAAAUGGCAUUCUCGUAUACAAGCCGUUCUGUUUUCUUCCAAUAAAAGUAUGCUCUCUCCUCCCUACAAAAUGGUGCCUUGUCGAAGACGACUGUGCAUCUAACUAGGGACUGGGUUUCUCAGUCUACCAGCAUGUAUAGCUACUUCAGAGACACGGAGUUUGAAUCGUGUGUUCAGGAGCUCAUGUGGGGCCAUUGCAUGGGGUAACUUUUCCAUUUGCUGCUUCUGUUCAUGCAACGGGAAGAAAGGACUUCCCCUAUGUCCCCUGUCAUCCUCUUCCCACAACUUCUGCCUCUGAAGUGCCCUGUCUUCCUGACACCCACCCAAGCGAGUGCAGCUCUUACAGACUCAGUCCCACAGUGAGGAGAGACUCUAGGUUUUGCCAAAUGCAGAACUGAAACAGCAGCUUGGCAGGAACCAUUAUUUUGCUGGCAGACCAUUGCUGUCUCGUUCCUUGUUCUGGAAUUGCUUGGUGUAGGCCAGUGAGGGGAACUCAUCAGGGUUAUCAAGGAUUUUAUUUAUGCUCUGCGAAAGCUUUUACUUUAGAAGAUGCUUCAUGCCUCUCGGUGAGUUUCUGGUGACCAUAUUUCCAACAACAUUUUCAGCCCAAAAGAACCCAACUUGAGCUGAAGCACGCUGGGUGCGUGUCCCCUCCUAAAUGCCUUUACAUCUGCCCAAGCUGCUGAACGAGACAACCCUAUGAACCAUUUAGCGCAUAUCCCCAACACAGCAGAUGAGAGAGCAGCCCGUCCAAGCUGACCAAAGGUUUAGGGAGCCACAGAGGGAAGAAAACCUUAUUAUCCAAGCUGAGCAGUGGAAAUCCAUGCACACACACAAAUCAUUUUUCACGUAUGUGGUCAAGGCUUUUGUAUGCCUCAUCUCAGCAGCAUUUCGAGCCCUCGUUCCGAAGAACCGUCCUUGGCAUUUCUUCCUUUUGUGAUCCCGAACAAAGCUUGUCCCAGCUGAGUCACUAGCACAGCAUAGAGCUUGGAGGCAAAUUGCUUUCAGAUAUUACAUAUUCCCAGGUUCUUGCCAGUGCCUGCAGCUUCCUUGAUUUAUCACCACUCUAAAUCCACAGUUGCUUUGCUGAACUUGACUGGGUUUUUUGUUUGUUUUCUCUCCUCCUGAGGCUCCAGCUUAAAGGCAGUUGGUUGGGUUGUAGUUCCCUGACCAGCUGUCUCAGACAGGAGCAUGAACGCUGGCUUGGGACACCAGAGGAACGAAUCCUGCUUUUCCUGGGGCCAGGAUACAGUGCUAUUGGCAAGCUUCAAAUCACCAAAGCGAGCAGCUGAUGCUCGGGUUUAGAAAAACAUUUGUUGCCUUCAAAAUAAAUCUAAUAUUCUUAGACUCUGAGGCACUUUGGUGGGUUGAGGCUGCCACUGCUUCUCAGUGCUGUUAUGCUGUUAAUAUGAUAACUCCUAAUAAAGCAAACAACCAAAAUCACAGAGGGUUUUUGUAGUCCGAAAUAAACUUUGAACUUCUUGUCUGCUGGUACUCAGUCCUUUGGCCAGCAAGGAAGUUUUCAUUCCCAGCUUCAUUUCUAAAUACUGGCACUUCAUUUUGUCAGUGUUUCAGACAUCACUGCCUAUGGAUUUUUUUUUUUCACUUUCAUGGCCCACAUGAAGUAGAGAAGCAGAUUUUGAGUGGGAGGUAGUCUAAAGAAUUUUAUUAUUCCAGGUCAGAAGUGGACCCAGAGAAUUUCAGUUCUCUUGUGAGGAUGGCUGUAGGUCCUGCAUCCAUUAUUUGCUUUGUUAACAUGAGAUUUAAUGUGCAUCUGUGAGAAAGGGAUGGGAAAAUAAGUCGUUUGUAAUACAUUAUAAAUGUUGAUUAAAGCUGCAUCCAGCUACUAAUAAAUCAGCAGCAUUUGUUUUAUUGCUCCCUAAAUCCAGUAAUAGCUCCAGAAUAGCUCUUUCAAACCAUAGUUCAGUGCCUUUUGGAAGAGACAUACAGAAUGACUUGCUUAAGUGCUCUUGCUCUGUACCCUAGCCCCUCCAAAAGAGACAGGUUUGUUCCUAUUUUUCCUUUGAGAAAUGCAUAUUGCAAUGAAUAACCCAUUCAUCUCAGCAAAACAGGAAGUCACUUUCCAAACCCUUCAGUGCUUUACUUGGAGUCUUUCUCUGGAAAGAGCAUCAAAUUGCCCUGGUGGAUUCAGACUGGCUGGUGUCACUGGAUGAGAAGACUGAAAAGUUUUUUCAAUAGUACAAAUAGUUGCACUUUAUGUUGGGAGCUUCAGCACACUUCUCUGACUUUUACUCUGUAAAAUUUGAAUGGCUCUUAGGGAGGAAAAGAUCCCCCCUGCUUUGAGCCUGCCUUCCUCUGUGGCAUCGGGACUCAUGUCCUUUGCGGGUUGCUGUGUGUCCCAGUAACUUUUGAACCACUUGGCCGGUUUCCAAUGUAUUUGACAAAGGAGGAAACAUCUUGGUGCUAAUUGCAUUCCUAAAGGCCCCGUAAAACCAGGUAGUCAGAGAGAGGAGAGGCCCUGGUGAGAGCAUCACAUGUUUGCCUCUGAUGAAGAGAGGCUGAUUUGCUGGAGCCCAAGCUUCAUUAAUUUCAGUUUUGGGGUUUUUUUUGUUUCUGGCUUGGAUUUUUUGUUGUUGUUUUUUGAAGUGCAGCAUGUUCUGUGUUUUGGUCUGUCUAGUGAAGCUUCCUGUUAAUCGUCAUUGCUGUUAUCCUGGAUGCCCACGUGGGUAUAAUUUGCCAGUUCUUCAGCCCAGGACUGUUUCUUUGUUUUGACUGCAAAGCAAGAUUGCAACCUCUAAGCACUACCAGGGUGUAAGUAAAGACUGAUCAGCAUGUUGUGAACUGUUUCUCCCCUUAAAAAUCUCAUCCUGAUGAUCUAUGCUUAAUGAGCAGCAAGGCAGAUUGCUGAUUUCAGUGCAGCUUGGUGGGAUCAAGUCUUUUGUAGUUUCUCUUGUCCAUUUAAAAAAAAAAAAGACAACAAAUCAGAUUUAUAAAGACUUUGUAAUUGUCAAUUAAACCCUUCAACUCCUCUGUAAGUCAUAAGCAACGGAGCGCAUAUUUAGCGGUUAUGGUAACUAAAGAUAGUAGCUGGCUGGCUAAAGCAUGGAGGAAUCAUGAUACACAGGAGUCCUGCCUUGCUUGUCUGUAUGGUAUUUCCUGUGAUACAGAAAAAUAGUGUCAGCAAUAAAGUGUCAGAUAUAAGAUUUAUGAAAACAUGCAAGUGCCAAAAUCACUUUUGAAAGGGAAUAUAGGAGUUCACAGCUCGGUGGAAAUCCAUGGCUCAUGUCACAGAGAAUCUGUACGCUUGGACCAGCCAACGCGCAGUGCAACUCAAGGGCUCCUGCCCUGCGGAAAAACCGCUUCACAAACUGCUGAGGAUGCACAAGUCCUUCAGAAACUUGGUACUUAUUUCCGAGUGCUUCCCUUUUCUUUUUUUAUUAAAUGGGGAAGAGCUGUAAGUUUUUAGCUUACACUGAUGCUCUGUGACAUAGGUCUCUUGUUUAACUCAACCGCAAAUUAGGAAUCUCAGUCCUGCUUUUGCAAUUUGCUUUUGCAGUUCCCAGUGCUGGGCACCAUAAAAACAUUUAGUAACUCCAUCUUUGCAGUGGGUGUCAUGGGAAGAUGCUUUCCGGUGCUCGUGCUGCAAUUUCUGAUUAGGCAAUAGAGGUGCAAAUGUGUUAUCCUGGCAUUUUCAGAGUAACGCCUAGGUUUGAUGGUACGGCUGAUAUCUCCACCCUGUGACUCGUCCGGAGGCCUGUUACCAGUCCACCAAUUACUGUGGGCUUGGGCAAUUCUUAUGGGAAACGGACCUUUUUUCCACAUUUACUUUUGUAGUUGUGAUUGAUCUGCCCUGUGGUAGUGCCUAGUAUCAGAUCAGACCACUGGUGUGCCAGGGAAGGCUCAGAUGCAAGGAUAAAGUUGAUCCUGGUUUAAAUACUUUUUUUGUCUUAAUUAUCCCCAUUCCUAGCAUGGAAGUCUUUCCCAGAAGCUGCUGCAUUUGAUUAAGAAAGAAAUCAGUGGUAUUUGAUCUGAUAAUCUCUGAGGUAUGGGUGAUGGGCUGAGUGUGGUUUAGGGGAGGGAAAGGGAACUUGUUUGUGUCUGCUGACUCGGAUCCUUUGCAGUGGUUCCAGCGAGUGAUUCAGUAUAAAGCAAAUUUAGCACGUAUCGGAAGGGAACACUGCAGCCUGUGGAAGAAAGAGGCAUUCACAUAGGGAACGGAGCCUAAACCACAUUUGCAAUUUUUUUUCUGUCAUGUCAAGUCUGUUAUCUUUGGUUUUUUUUAUUUUGGGGGAUUUUUUUUUAGUUUGUGUAACAGGAUGGAGCCUGAGCACUGAUGCAGGUCGCUGUGUCGGGAAAGCUGGAAAUGAACGGGAGAGGCGAAAGGACCAUAUAAGACGUGGAAGUUAAAAAUAAUUCUUUGGUUAUUGCUAAGUGUUUGUGCAGGGGCUGUUGUAGCAGUGAUUCAUGCAGCUGCCGAGGGAAAAGGGCGCUGUGGCUGCGCUGAAGCUUUCCUUUAGCUCAGCAUACAGCUCCUCUGCAGAGGUAACCAGCCGGGGGGGGACUGGGGGUCACAACUAUUAAGGGAGUUUUGGGGCUUAUUUUGCUGACCCAAGUCGUGUCUCAGCUCGGGACACCGCUGCACAGUCUGGUGGCACCAGCUGCUUCGUUAGAGGUCACAGACCAAGUAAUUAGCAGUGGGUCAGGGCUGCUGGAUGCCCAACAGCAGGGGCCACUGGGGACGGGAGGGCAGUUUGGGGUAAGCUGAACCCAGAAAAACACACUGGACCAAAGACUGCUUUUUUGUUAUUAAGGGUGACUUAUAGGACUCUGUGUGUCUCUUUUCUUUCUCUCUCUGCAUCCUCAUUACCCUGGGAAAAGAGGCAGAGAGUGAAAUUGGAGGCUGCAAACUGGAUGAGGUUGGGCUAGAAAAUAAAUAAGUAAAUAAAAUGUAUAUGUGUUAGGCUGUAUGGGGUGCUGUGUGCCCAUAGCUCCUCCUUAUCAAUCAGCAAACCUGGUUUCACACAUCUUUAGAUCUUCUCCCCGCAGAGCCUCUGGCUGGUCCAGAGGGAUGUCGUGGGCAGAAUAAGUAACAAGGAGAUGGGGCUCCGGUAUUAGCUGUCUUUUAAGAUGUGGUCCCAUGAAGAGGCUCAAGAGUCGCUCGGGCUGCAAGUUUUCCUGGAGCUUCAUAGAAUUUUUUUUUCCUCGCUGCAUUUCCCUUCCGUCUUGGCUUUUAUUGCCAGCAGAAACGGCUCAAUAAAAGCCCUUCCUGGAGAAGUCUGUAUGCCUGAGAAGAAACAGAUCAAAAAAUAUCACAGUGAAUGAGAAAGAGGAAAAAAAUAAAACUAUGACUGAUUGUGUUCCCUUCUACUUGUAGCCCAUAAACAUCACCAAAGCAGCUACGGGCUGAGGCUGAAGCACCUAUGCCUUGUUUAAGAGAGGGUUUGGAGGAUGUCCUCAGUGCCUGUUGGGUUGGUAUCCCUCCUCUGCGUACCCAAGCUGUAUGUUCUCCUUGAACUAAUGAAAUGUUUUGGCUCCGGUGGGAAUUUAUAAAGGCGCUGCAAAAAUUUCAUAAGAAACCCAAAUGUGGGGCCUCCCCUGUUGUCUUCCUUUUUCUGGGUUAAAGUGUUAAGCCGGGCAUGUUCCAUUUACUCUCCUCACAUGGAUUAACAUAAAGAAAUGUAAGGUUUAGGUCAGCUCCAUUUACUCCUGCCAUGUGAUUUACUAUAAAGAAAUGUAAGGUUGAGGUCAGCCCCAUUUACUUUUGUCCUGUGGAUUAGCACAAAGAAAUGUAAGGUGGAGGUCAGCUGGGGCAGGCAGGUCUUUAGGAUGUAAUGAGGAUUAAUUGGAACAGCAGUAAACCGAAUCCACCUCAGUGCUGAUCAGGCGAGCAUUGCUCUUGCUCUGUGCGCGGGGUUCCCCCGCGGGCCGUGUUUAGCCCUGCGCCUCGGACGACUCGGCUGCGCGGGAACGUCUGAGCCCCAAAUCGGGAAAAGCUCCGCUGCUUUCCUGCAGCGUGUUUGUAUAAACCGGCUUUUUCUCCUGAUGUAAGAUGUUGAUAUUCAUGCAUUCCUGUGUAAACUCCUGCAAGGCAGCACGGUUAGGAAGGGCGGCCCAUGCGCGCUUGGAGGCUCCGCUCGCUCCGUCGCUGAAAUGCAGCUGCUGCUGGGGGAGAGCCGGCAGCUGCCCCUGGCCCCGCGCGGUGCUGCGGCGGCCGUGCCCUUAAAACACUCUGGGGAGGCAGAACGUGACUGCCGAAGCGGCGCUUUGGAAAAUGACUCCCCAGGCAGGGAAGGAACCGCAGAGCCUUCCGUUGCCCCCAGGGGCCGGGAUGCUGGUUUUUAGGACUUGCUCCAUGAUGGGACGCUGGUCGCCACAGCCUUGGAAGCGCCUGAUGCGCUGGAUCGCCAGCGUUGCUCCUCGCGUGCCGUCCUUAGAGGUCAGCCCGGCUCGGGGAAGCGUCUCGUGAUGUCUCAGCUCCGAGGGCAGCACUCUGUCGAAGCUCUCAGCUUUCAGUGGGGAACGUCAUCGAGAAACUCUGCUCUUCGCACGGCGUGGAGAGGAUGAGAAACCACAAGGACGCGUGUGGGGUCCAGCAGCUGUGUUCACUCACGGCCGGCCAACGCAGGCGACCAGGAGGCCCCUGGGCUCCCAAAUUGCAGGACAGCUCUCAGCACCAGCCCCAUCCUCGUGCCCUUCGUCAGGCACGGCCCGGCCGGGCACCGGUCGGUGGAGAAGUGGUUCAGGCCCCAAGCCAUUUCCCUGUCGCUCCCAACAGCUCCUUUUCUCUUUGCGGGUCACCUUAAGGUCUCUGUCUUUCCAAACCAGUUCUGCAGUGCUUCACGUGUAGUCCUCAGUGUGCUCAUCUCAAGGAGCUGUGGCCUUACAGAGAGGGGCUGAAAGCUGCGUGGGAGGCGUUUGGACGCAUCUGAGGUUUGUCUUCGUGAAGCUUUAUUUCCCUGGCACGUGAGCGCUCAGUGGCUCCCGCAGACGCGGUAUGAUGCUUCCUGUACGCGCACGGCGGCACCGGCGCUGAGCGUUCCCGGGAGGAGCACGGAGGAGAUGCAGAUGGCCCUGGUUCUGCGGUGGGACUUGUCACAGGAGCGCUGGAGGUACUCGGUACGUUUAUUUUGCACACACCAGUUCAAGAGUCCUCUUGAAAGCACCGUGCUGCUUCCCCCAGGGUGACAUUUCCCCCCUCCCCAGCCUCUCUUCUGCUUCCUCUCCGUGUUUGCUAAUUCUUUCCCUUCAGCCUGGUUUCUGUUCCGCUCUCUGUGCGGUUUGAUCCUGAGACGUGUGCUGCUUUCCUCCGGGAGGAUAUGCCUUCCCUGUCCUCCUCCACGCUGGUUCGACAGGCAGAAGUUUGAAGAUCCAGGAUGGUGCGAACCGCCACCGAGCUGGGCAGAGCGUGGCCCUCGCUACCCUGGGGUCAUCAGCCCUCCCGAAACGUUUCCAGCAGUUCUUGUCUCCAAGGGGGCGAGCCGGGGCCUCCGGGCAGCCGGCAAUGCCAGGCGCUGCCUUCCCGGAGCAAGCUGGUUUCCAGCAGCGGUGGUCGGACAGCUUCAUGCAGCAGAGACGCCAACGCUGAAGGAGCCGAUGCGCGCGGCCACAGCCGAGGAUGGGGAGAGGCUGCUCCAUGUCAGCGGCGCUGGGUGCGCAGAGUAGCAGCCCCCGCCCUGCAGGGCAGCCAGAGCUCUCCCCACCGGUCACGGUGAUCCAAGAGGUCUGCAAAGCGGCAGCCUCGAGGGCCCGUGGGCUCGGCUGCCUCGGGCUUGGUUACGGUGAUCAGCUGGAGCGAGGGGGCUCGUUGCAUCGCGAGUGUGCGCUGAGAGGACGCUCUCCGUCUCAACGCCCCGCUGCCCCCACGCAAGGAGCUUUCUGCCCCCAGCCUUUUUACGCAUUUGCAAGCCAACGAGCGGUCUCUCUGCCGGGGAGCAGCCCCAGCACUGUUUGUCCUGCCACUGCUUGAGGUCGGUUUUAUUGGCCUCGGUGCAAUGGCUGUUGACCGCCCAGUCGGCAGUUUGGGGAAGGGUUGGCCCCAAAGAAACCGGCAGUGACCGCUCUGCUGGGGCGCUUGCUCGUGUCUUGGUGCCGGGAGGGGAGACCCCAGCACUCGCUGGGCGAGGGAAGUAAAAGCCUUGGUCCUGUCUUUUUAUUCAGCUGAUACACUUCACUUUUGCAAGAGGUAAAUCUCCUGGCCAGGCUCCGGUUCCUCUGCUGGUGACCACUCCUCUAGGCAGCUCGUCCUGCAAUUGCCCGGGCGAUUGCAACCGCUUGCGCUGCGUUGCCGAAAGCACUUGCCGUGUUUCCUUCCACAGGUGGCUGCGUUUCUGUGGCAGAUAAAUGGUUCUGAGGUAUUAGGCUAUUUAUUCAGUGCAGAUAGUCCUUUGGGUUUCUUUCACAAUAAGCAAAUAUAUUACUCAGUAUUACACCGCUAGGCCUUACUGUAACAUCACUGCGUGUUAAAUAUUACUGAUCUUUGCAUGGGUUUCUCGCAGGAACAUGGAUGAUAUUUCUGUUCUUCUUUCUGUUCAGGGCUGGUUUUGUGCUUGAUACUCCUUAGCGUUUUUGGACAGCAGGUGUAUCAUGCCCUGCCAUGCUUUGCUCAUGCCAAGGUUUUGGUUUUGUUGCUCACACUGAAACAGUAAUUGGUUUGGUCUUUUUGUCCCCAAGUGGAUUGAGCGCUGCUUUGCCAGAGUUUCCGUUCCCUGCACGAAAGGGAAAUACCAUCAUUUUUUACCCUUCUUUCACCCUACCGCGGCUCUCAUUGCUAUCGAAGUCCCUUGCAGCCCUCCCAGGAUCUGGCAGCAAUUCCCUCGAAAACCUAACCACACAGAGUGCUGCUGUUUCUGCCUCUUUUCACUGGUGUUUCUCCUUGUCCUUGAGCAGGCCCUUUGCAACCAUUAAUGCAUGCUAAUGAGGCAUUAAAUACCAUGGCAGAAUUAAAGAAUAAAGAAGUGACGUCUUUACAUCUUCACAGGAGCCAGAGCCCCGUCUGUGGGUCUCUGGUCUUAAAGUGGUACAGUGCGCGUCUCGCGGUGACAGCGCUGCGCGGAUGCACGUCCGCAGACCCCCGCUGCAGCCACCCCCUCCCAUAGCUCUUAACUUCGUGUCUCGGAAGGUAGAAAGCUCCAAAAUGAAGAAAAGCCGAACUUUGAAAACAAAAUGCAUCAGGUACUUGCUCCCCAAAGAUGGAAGGCAAUCCUAAAAUGUUCUCAUUUAAAUAUUCUGGUUUUAUGGCAAGCUUCCCACUCAGUUUGGCAUUUGCAUUUGUUCUUUCUGAUUAUAGUAAUUAACAGAAAUAAACAUUUGGAAACGAAUGCUAUAUUUUGGGUUUAAAGGCAAAUGAAGGCUUAAAACAAGCAGGUGAGUGAAAUUCUGGGUCUCUACGCUUUGUGUUAGCGUGCACUGGCAGCCCCUAAAUAUUGCUUGAUUUGGUUUAAAAAUCGAACGUGAGAACUGAAAGUGAAGUGUAGCAUAAGGUGUGGAGGGUUUUUUCUUUUUUCUUUCCAUUUUGAAUGAAAUCGUGACUUCUUCCAACAUCCUUGGGAAGGGAGAAAUCCAGUCCAGAACUCACGAACCUUUGGUGAACUUAGGCUAGAAUAUGUGCUUGCAUCCAAACACAGAGCUAGGCACGCUCCUGCAGCACGGGGUUUUACAGAGAAAGAAUGUCUCUUUGCUCUGGAGACCACUCCUCUUAAUGAGGUCCAGCUGGAAGGACAUUAAGACCAUACGUGCUUUGGUAGGUGGGAAAUAUCCUGCUUUUCAUUUUAAGGAUCGGCCUGAACUGUAGAGUUUGGCCCUGGAGUUCAGGGAUUUGGGAUCCUGGAUCUUUGUUUUGGAGCCAAGUUUUAUUUUGAGAACGAAUCUUUUUUUUGUGCAUGCCUGCGCGAGCCCCAUCGCUGCUGGCCUGCCUGGCUGCGUGCGCGGCGCCGGCGUCUGUGCCGGUGCCAGGCCUCGACGGUUCGUGUCUGCACCAACGCCGGACCGGGAGAAGCAGCCCAUCCUUCCUGGAGGUCCCUUCGCCUGUGUUUCACCUAACCGAGUGUUUGCCAUUUGUCCCCAACUCCUUAUCUUUGAGUCUUCCAGUGUCUUCAUCGUGGUGAAGGCUCCAGGCUGAAUGGGUCAGUAGUGUGAGCAGACCUGGGCAAAGAGAUAGGACCAAGAGUAAAUAAGUGGGGGAGAAGCUCCUGGUUAUGGACCCAUGGGCAUUUUGCGGUAUUUGGCAGGGUUGGAAGAGCAAAAACUGCUUUUUGCCCAGCAGUUUUCUUUGUCCAGCCUUUUGGGGUGGAAAAAAAAAAAAAACGACUAGAGGUGCAAUGAGGAGGUUUGGUGCCCUGUAAGAGCACCUAGUUCGUUAGGUGUUUGCAGAUGAAAGUCCUCAGUGCUCCUGUGGGGCUGGGAGUUGGCUUUUGUCGGUGUUUGGAAAUGAGGGUGCGAGCGCCGGAGCUGCAGGGAGCCGUGCCGUCCGCCCCGCUCUCCUUCCCGGCCCUCCUUCCCCGUGGGCCCUCUGACCUCCCCUCCGCGCUGAGCGGCGCUUCGAUAACCGGCACCUUACCGAUCUUGAACUUCAGAAAUGCAGUUGGGCUUGUCCCUGGGGCAGCUGCGGGCUCUGGAAGGGUAAUGGGCUGCUGUUUGGAUGCCUCUGCCCGUGGCACGUGCGUAUUUCCCGAAAUUUCUGCCUAGCCAUCACCCUUCUGCAGCAAGUCUCGGGAGAAGGCAGGGCAACGCCGGGCAGGAGGUGGUCGGUGCUGAGCGAGAUCGGGGCAGGAGGUCUGUCUCCCCAGCCAUCUCCUCCUUUCGGUUUUAAAAUGUGGAGCCGGGGAGGUGGUGGGAUGGGGUACGUGCCGUCUCCGAGCGGCGGUGGGAGCGUGGCCGCGGCUGCAGCUGCAGGGAGACCUCAUGCAGACCUGCAGCAGAGGGGAUGGAGGUCGGUGUGAAAUGGGCAGUGGCACAGAGCCCGUUUGGGGUUAGGAGGAUGGCAGGAUGGACCAGAAGGGAGGACACAGAGCGUCCCCCCCGCCUUCCCAUCUGCCUUAGGGAAUAAUACCAAUUUUCAGCAGUUUCCACAGCUCCUCCUGCAUAAGGCUCUUCCAGGCAGCCGUGGUGAAACCACAGCACUCUGGAUGAGCGUGUGCCCCAGUCUGUUCGGUGUCGUUUGAAGGGGUCGGGGCACCCUUCCCAGUGUCCUUCUCCUGGGAUGAAGCACUCGCUGUCCAGGAGGCUCCGGCAGCAGCAGCCGCCCGGUAUCGCUCGGUGCAUCAGUAGCGGAGUUAGCAGUAGGACCUCAAAGCUCCAAUUCCCAGCCCCGUGCCGCCGUCCAAAAGGCCACGUGUAGGAGGCUCAGCUGAGACACUAAUGUAAGCAGAAGUCAAGAGAUUUGUGGAGUGUUGAACUUAUUUAAAAAAGGAAAAGAAAAAAGGCUUCAUUUUAAGAAGUGCAGCUUUAGAUCUCCUUCAGGAAAUGACUCCGAGCUGCCCAUUUUGGCUUUCUGAUGUAUCAUCAGCCGUAUCUCGUGAUUACACUUCAGCUCCACUUCUGUAGCAUGGAGGACGAAAAUGAGAAAAGGCUGGCUGGACCUGCCGCAGGAAAUCCAUUCUGCCCCAAGAUAAGUUUCAGCUGCCUUCAUGAGACAGCAGUUUCUAAAGCUGUUUUUCUUCCUGCAUAGUUUUCAUUUAACCUAAAAGUUCCCAAGUGACUGAGAAACUGAGGGGGGAGGAGGUUUGGGUUUUCUUUUCUUUUUUUUUUUUGAAAUUGCAGUGUUGCAACUUGUGGGAUCCUGACAAUAAUGUGCAGUUAGUGACAUGGCUUGUGGUACCCAAGGCUGAACUAACAGCUCAAACAGGGAUUUAGUUCUUCACCUUCGGUUCCAUUAUUCUGCAUCUCUAGCAUAAUUUAUUUUCCAUGAUAGAACUGGUGAACUCAACUAAUGUUGGAAUUGAAAUAAAGGUUUAUUUAAAACCUCAUCUAUUCUUGGCCAAACCCGUAUGCUUUGUAGUACAGCAAUCCACUGAAACCAGUGCAGUGGCAAGAUGCACAGAUCCAUGGUCUCUGGUAAAAUUGAUGUAUAUAAAAGCAGUGUUUACUUGUUAUUAAUCUUUUAGUGUUUCGUUGUUUCAGUAUUGUUUUGUGGAUAAGUGAAUUUGGGCAAGUUCCCUUCUGGUGUAAAUGGAGACAGUCCAUGGAUAUGUUUCAAUUCACACAGAAAACUUGGACCCUUGACGUUUGUCUUUUUGUGUUUAUAUAGUAACCUUCUUUUAACAAAGAAGUUGUUAUGCUCUUUAGUCUUCAAGAGUUGGCUGGGAUGCUCCUACCAGCCUGCCUUCCUCCUUUUCGUUGCCAAACCUGAAUGAUCAGGGGAAUGAAUGCUAAUACCAUCCCCACUUCUUAAAAUUUCCUGCGCUCCCGUGCUCUCCCUCGCUUUCUGUCGGUGCUGAAACAUCUGGCAGCGCUAACCCGCCGUUAACCUGCGAUGUGCUGCGUGUCGACGGACCUACAUCGCAUGACGCGUUUAUGUGCGCUGCUGGAAGGCAGGCAGACGCUGGAGCUUGUGGCUUAUUUGAGUCAUGGAAAGAGAUUAGUGGGAAACUGGAUGAUUUAUUUGCCUGAGCAGGCACUGUUUCUAACCAUAGCCCUUUUCCAAACGGAAAGGUCUAAGUUUUCCAAGUGUUCAAAGCUCCUUCCGCUCCCCUUCUUCCUCCCACUCAAAAUGUGCCAUUCCCAGGGCCUCGGAGGAGUAUUUACUUCUGCGCCAUAGACCAAGGACAGACAUCAGAUACACUGAAAAAUGGGCCAGUGAGAUGCAAAAGCAGUGCUCGAGCAGUGCCCUGCGUCGGCAUUCAAGUAACCAAAAUGACAGAAGCAAACAUAGAGAAUUUGGAAGGUCCUGACCCAAGCAACGUCUGGAUGCGAGCCUUAGGACAGUGGCACGAAAAUACGUCGCUUGAUUUAGUGAAAACAAACCGAAAUAUGACCUCCCCUCCUCUUGAAUCCUCUGUAAUGCUAGUGCCAUAGAAGCUAAAAAUCUGGCUUAAAAAUCAUGAGGAUUUUUCCUCUUUCAUCUGAAUUGCAUCCAUUUUAUUUUCCUGCUAGUCCUGGAGACUUGCAGAGGGUGGGAAAAAGUGG